CAUAACAAGGCUGAUGAAAUCAUUUCAAAUUCAGAACAUUAUACAUAGAUAUUCAAGGGAAAGAGAAAUAGCUUCAUAUGGCUUUACUUAAUGGAUUUACCUGUGACUUUACCUGUAACUGUACAUGCAGGAGUAUAUAGUAAGUGAUCCAUAUGUGGAAAUUAUCAUGACAAUUAUUUUAACAAUUUAUAUCAUCUGUCACUUUAAGAAUGAAAGCUUUCAGUAUAAGCAAUCUGCCCUCCUAGCAAAGGGAAAGAAAGGAAAUCAAGUGGGAAGAAAAUAUUUCUAAAAUAUCUCAUCAUUGGAAGUAAAUGAUUAUAAUGUUUGUCUAUUAGUUUCUUUUAGAAGAUAUGUUCCAAACUGUUGUUUUUAUCACUUUGAAAACUAUUCAUAUUUUUACUUUUUUGCAUUUAUCUUCUAGUAUGUCCCAGAUUUUUUAAUGUUUUUGUAUUAAGUUAGGGUUUGGGAGCUUUUGUUGUUGUUCGUUUUUCC
RNAcentral lists this long non-coding RNA (492 nucleotides) under Bos taurus (domestic cattle). RNAcentral's name for it is "long non-coding RNA NONBTAT001570". The record is from RNAcentral. Lineage: Eukaryota; Metazoa; Chordata; Mammalia; Artiodactyla; Bovidae.